GAACCAGUCUUCUGGCUGAGAUUGUUGCGUGCUACUGUGAUGCCUGGCUGCUUCAACGCAAGUGUGGCAGUUAGAGUUGAUCAGCUGUGCGUGAUGUUUCUCAGCUUGUUAGUCAACCUUUGUUCGUGCUUGGGGAUAACUGCGGGUUCCAUGUUCUUCUCUGCGGAGUUGAGCUCGUGCCUGUAAGGACUCAGGUGUGUACAAUUGGUGACAAAAUGGUUCUCUUCGACCCGUCUUGAAACACGGACCAAGGAGUCUAGCACAUGUGCAAGUUCACAGGUGGCAAGCCUGCUUGCGCAAUGAAGGUGACUGCUGGGAUAUUUGCACCAGCAACCGACCAAUCAAUUGAGAGAAGUUUGAGUAUGAGCAUAUGUGUUAGG
This 380-nucleotide ribosomal RNA is filed under the name Pelagodinium bei. RNAcentral describes it as "eukaryotic LSU rRNA". It matches the Rfam family "Eukaryotic large subunit ribosomal RNA", at positions 426 to 813 of the family's 3401-position model. The record is from RNAcentral. Lineage: Eukaryota; Dinophyceae; Suessiales; Suessiaceae.